GAGAUAUAUAAAUGGUCGGAAGCAUUCGGUGUGCAGUAACAACAAUAAAUUACUCCGCCUGGGGGAGUACGGUCGCAAGACUGAAACUCAAAAGGAAAUGACGGGGACUCGCACAAGCGGUGGAGCAUGCGGUUUAAAUUCGAUGCAACGCGAAAAACCUUUACCAGGUCUUGACAUACUGUGUCAGGAUUAGAGAUAAUCCCUUUCUUCGGAACAACAGAUACAGGUGGUGCAUGGUUGUCGUCAGCUCGUGUCGUGAGAUGUUGGGUUAAGUCCCGCAACGAGCGCAACCCUUAUCAUUAGUUGCUAACAUUCAGUUGAGCACUCUAAUGAGACCGCCGGUGAUAAACCGGAUGAAGGUGGGGAUGACGUCAAAUCAUCAUGCCCCUUAUGACCUGGGCUACACGUGUGCUACAAUGGCUAGUACAAAGAGUCGAAAAAACCGUGAGAGUGGAGCUAAUCUCAUAAAGCUAGUCUCAGUUCGGAUUGUAGUCUGCAACUCGACUACAUGAAGUUUCAGGAAACAAUUCUUACCAUGAGCAUGCCAAGGUGAAAUCGGUCUCGAUUUAGGGACACCCCGCCCGCCGCCCCAUGCAGUCGACGGACCCCGGAUCCGGGUGGCCUACCCGGAAGGAGGGAGCAUGUAAAGGCGGACAAAAGCGUUCAUCAUGUCCCAGCAUCAAAACCUAAUCUAGAGCAUCCGCGAGGUG
RNAcentral lists this ribosomal RNA (710 nucleotides) under uncultured bacterium. Its description in RNAcentral is "bacterial SSU rRNA". The stretch from base 62 to 575 matches the Rfam family "Bacterial small subunit ribosomal RNA", at positions 875 to 1387 of the family's 1533-position model. The record is from RNAcentral.